GAUUCCAGCAACUUGAGCAUUCAAUGGGGCAACCCAGUUCAUCAUUUACUCCAGCUUAUCGUGAUCAGCUUCAGCAAUCUUUGGCGGCUCCGCAGGGAAGUACUUGAUGCCCACAAGAUCACCAACUCUGCUGAUAACCUGAGUGGAUUACAAACAUGAGAACAAUGGCUUUUAUCAGGUCCUCCCUAGUGUGCGAAGCAGAAAUGCAGAUGCGCGCCCUUGCAAGGAGCAGAGGUGUGGCAGGGAAUGCCACAGUGACAACAGCAACCUGAAAUGCCAGUGCCACAUCAGUCGCACGGUAAUAGGGGCUAGGGAACGACAAAAAACUGGCAAAAACCAUUAUUCUGUACCAUUUCUGAAGAUAAAUAGCAUUCUAUACCAUUACUAACCUUUUGUCUAAGGCACUCCCUGGAAAAAGCUGGAAUUUUGGCUGGAUUGUAGAGCAUUAUUGGCAUAACUGGAGAGUCAUUGUCUCCGAGAACC
This 483-nucleotide small RNA is filed under the name Oryza sativa Japonica Group (Japanese rice). RNAcentral describes it as "sRNA Os11g0516050". The record is from RNAcentral. Lineage: Eukaryota; Viridiplantae; Streptophyta; Magnoliopsida; Poales; Poaceae.